CCAAAACUCUGCUACUCUGAAUAUUGACAUCUACUGUUCACCAACUUUCCUCUCUAACUUAAGCAUCGAAGGAUCUCCAUCAGACACAAAUCCGAUCAGUGUGGACGUUGUCUUGCAGAUGUUUAUUCCUGACGACAGGCAAUGAGAAGUUGACCGCAACAGAUUGGCACAUCAGGUAGGAGAGAGAAAUAAUAUUCACCAUGACGAAAACUAGAGCCCAACAUUCAACUGCAAC
RNAcentral lists this long non-coding RNA (235 nucleotides) under Elaeis guineensis (African oil palm). RNAcentral describes it as "long non-coding RNA (EGUI_LNC077104)". The record is from RNAcentral. Lineage: Eukaryota; Viridiplantae; Streptophyta; Magnoliopsida; Arecales; Arecaceae.